GGGGCUGUAGCUCAGUGGUAGAGCACUCGCCUAGCAUGUGUGAGGCACUGGGUUCGAUGCUCAGCACCACA
Molecule: transfer RNA, 71 nt
Filed under: Marmota monax (woodchuck)
Lineage: Eukaryota; Metazoa; Chordata; Mammalia; Rodentia; Sciuridae
Description: tRNA.Ala
Rfam family: tRNA
About the family: Transfer RNA (tRNA) molecules are approximately 80 nucleotides in length.
Source: RNAcentral